AUCCCCUCUCUUUUAGUUUCCUAGGACAUGUGUCUAUCACAUGAAGCUCUGCUUUUCCUCGGGCAACUAGCAGUUGUUUCUCCCUCAUAUAUUAUAUAUCACGGUAAAUAAACUUUUUUUUUUGCUUUAAAAAUAAGAAGAUGAAGUAUAUGUAAAAGUUCUUAAUCUUCAUAUGGACUGUUGGACAACAUGAGGCUUUCUCUCUCAUUCUCUCCUAGAGAGAGAUUUCUCUCUCAGUUCCUCUUCCUCUUAUGAGGUUUGAGAUAGUUUUGAGAGUGUGAGGGAUCGCGUUUGUAGAGGUCCAGAGACUCCGGGAUGAUGAGGCUUUCAUAGAUCGUCAUCGUCGGUGUUUGACUCCGGGGAGUGGAGGUUUAUUCAACCUCGCGCCGCCGGCUUUGGUGGUUCGCCCCUUUUCUCUGUUGGGUGUGACACAACGGGUGGUGAAAAAAGGAAGUGAAGCUGAGGAAGGCAAUCGCUGGAAGAGGCGAUGGUGUUGAAGGGGUAUGCGUUUUAUACGCAUGAUCUGGACGUGAUCCGGUGUGUGUCGGAGAGAUGAAGCUGAUGAAACCCGAUACCUUUAAUACAGUUGUUAGAGGUGGGUUUCAUCGGAAAAUGGUGGAGAAUAGAGUUUCUCCGAUUUGGCUCUGGAAUUGACGCUUGAAUGAUUCGAUAAUCGCCGAUAUUUUCUUUGCUGGUGGUCAUCUUUGGCAUUGAAGGCUUGUAGUCGUCUGGUGUGUUUUCCGGCGAUACGAGGUCUCUGGCCGUGUCUCCGGCGAUGAAUUGAAGCGGUGCCGUUCAGGCGGCGAGGAAAGAAGUGGUGGAUGGGUGGCGCGUGUCCCUGCGUUUUGGGCUUUCUUCAGCACGUGGCGUUCAUGCUUCAUGAGGUGUCCGGACGCGUGUGUCGCGUUGACGGUGAAUCUCAACGCGUGGACGGUCACGUAUGUUUGGUUUACGCGCAUUUACGUUUGUGGGUCGAUUGGGCUUUAGGCCCAUUUGUUUCUGUUUUGUUACGUCCAUCUUGUGGGCUUUUAGUGUUUUUUCUGUGUUUUGGGUUUCGGCCCAGCACUUUAAUAAAAGAUGGAAAAAAAAAAUGUAAAAGUUCUUAAACAGCCAACAAAAGAAUUCGUGAUAUAAUACGAGGGAGAAACAACUGCUAGUUUUCAUCUGUUGGCUCAAUCUUUCGCCUCUAUCUCUUUUGUUUUUUUUUGACAACAUUUCUUUUGUUUUCAUUCAGCGUUUAGCAAAUGCUCAUGCUAUUCUUUAGCUAAAUCAGUGUUGUAUCACGUACGUUCUUCUACUCUCGAGUAGGUAAACAUCACUCUUAGUAUAAGUUUGUUUUGAUCAAAAAAAAUAUAUAUAUAGUGCUUCCAUAUCAUUUAUAUUUUCAUGUAUUCUAUAAGAAUGUCAUUUCUAAAUUUAUAGAAGUAAAUAGAAAAUAUCAUCUAUAUUUUCAUGUAAAAAAAAUCCUUUACUUUUGAACUUGUGCCUAGGAAAGCCUUAAGAGAAAUAAAAUUUCACUAAAUACUGAAAAAUGACAGCCAUAAAAACAAUCUAGAUCAGUUACAAAAAAAAAAAAAAAAAAAAAAUUUAAACGGAAAAAAAUCCUUUACUUUUGAACUUGUGCCUAGGAAAGCCUUAAGAGAAAUAAAAUUUCACUCAAUACUGAAAAAUGACAGCCAUAAAAACAAUCUAGACGGAAAAGAAACAAAAAUAGACAGAAGAUGAAGUAUAUGUAAAAGUUCUUAAACAGCCAACAAAAGAAUUCGUGAUUUAAUAAGAAUCUAUAGCGGGAAACUUAUACAAAAUGUAGAAAGAUAAAAGCUUCAAGUGGUGGUGGCUAUUAAAAUAAAUUAUGAUGAAUUUAUUGUUCAUCAGAUUUUAUACCAAUUAGGUUAAAAUUUUGUAAAAUUAUUGAUACAUAAACUUUCAUUUCAUUUUUUUCAUUUUUCAUAUUUGAUAAAUAAACUUUCAUUUAAAUAAUAUUAAAUAAAAUUUUAUUAUUUUUUAUCCAUCAAUCACCAAUCAAAUUAGUUUUUUUUUUUUAAAUGAGAAGAUAAGCUUAGCCAUUUUGUUGAUAAAUCAAAGAUAAAUAUCCCUUCUUAAGAAAUUACAAGUUAAGUUAAUAUCCCUACUAUACUCAUAAAUAUCCCUUGUUAAGAAAUUAAUCUAUAUCCCGUGAUAAUAAUGAAAAUGUUGAUAUUGAAUAUCAACUAGACUAAAAAGAGACUGUAAACACAAUUUGAAUAUAUAACUUGAUCAAUCAUAUUUUCAUCUAUUCAAACAAAACGAGAAGAGAGAGAAUCUAGAGGGAUACGACUCCUAUUUACAUCUUUUACACCUUUUUGGUAUGCGCCCAUUCAACAGGAUCAAAUGGUAUUCAACACUGAGUCGUUAUAAAAAACGUUCGCUCCCACCGAAUUUAAUUUAUAUGAGAAAAGAAAACACUAUUUCUUGCCUGCUUAUCAAGAGGAUCUGCACACACAUUUCUUGAUCUAAAAAUAUGAAAUAUGUUGAAUUCCAAAUAAACGCCAGCCAGUCAACAAGAUUAACAAUCAUCUCCACAUCAGAUUAUGUAAAUAUUUUGUAACAUUUUUUUUUGGUUUUGAGCCAUCAGACUCUAUGAACAAUUUGGAUUAUAACAAUAAAAUGUUUUUGUUCUGCAUAAUUUAGAUAACUAACCCCACAUCAGAUUAUUUAAAUAUUUAUCAAUCUUAGUUAUCUAUAUACAAAGUUGGUUUUAUUCUCUCCACAAACCUCCAGAUUAGUAAAUAAAUUAUCAUAUUUCUGAUAUGUCAGCAUGCCACAAAACAUCAUUUACACGAGAGUGAUUAAUGGGUUUGGCUGAUUUGUUUCAUUCAUAAUAUAUGAUUUUUGUUUGAAGAUUUUUUUUUUAUAAAUAUCAAUGAAAAUAUAAUUUUAAUUUAAUUUUUGCAAUUAUAAAUAAAAUAGAUUAAAUUUAAUUAAUUGCACCCUUUUGAUAAAGUUAAAAUUAUCUAAAUAUAUAAAGAUAACUUAUAGGAGUAUUGUGAAAUAACAAAAAAAACAAAACAAAAAGUUCUAAAAUAUGUUACACAUUAAAAGAGAGAAUAGAAUAUACUCGGUUAUGUAAAAUUGUUUAUUUUGGUUAUUUUGUUUUGUAGAUUUUCAAGAAGAACGAUUGAGGUUUUCAAUGGAGAAACAGACAUACUCCAAACUUUUCUUGCAAACUAUUUUUCUCUUCGUGCCCUUUUAUGAUUUCGAUAUAGGAGUUCACAUAUUAUAUGUUCUUAAUUACUUCAUAUUUGUUAUAACCUAUAUUCUAUAGUGAUUAAGAGUAUGGUGCAUAUCUCCACAAAUGUAUCUCAUUAAAAGAAAAUGAUACAACUCGAAGAGUUGACUAGAUUUUGACUCGCACGUUUGUGCAGAUAUUUUUUAUUUUAUAAAUAUAUUUGAUAUUAUUACAAAUGUAUUAAAUAUAUAUAAUUUUUAUUUCAGUGUUAUAUAUUGUACAACUCUAUAAUAUCUAAUCAAUUAAUUUAGGAUCAUGUUUUUAUCUACUAUUAAUAAGUCAUAGUAGGACCACUUAAAAAAUUAUUUAAUAUGUCAUAUUUGUUUAUUUACAUUAAUAAUAGCUCAACAAUAAAUUUAACUUUUUUUAAUUAUAAUAAUUUCUGUUGAGAAAGAAUCUAACCAAAAUAUUACUAAAGAUUUAAAUAUUUUUAUAAAAUAACACACUAAUUAAUUUUUUAAUUAAUAAUAUAAUAUUAUUAUAAAUCAGUGCUAAAUAAAAUUUUAUUUUAAAACAAGAAAACAAAAAUUAUAUACUAUAUAUUUAUAAAUUUUAUAAUUAUAUUCUAUAUUAUAUAAAAUAGAAGUGAUUUAUGAAUUAAAAAGGAAAAAAAUUAUAUUAAAUAAGUAAUUUAACAAAAUUUAUUUUUUAAAUUGUUUCAUUUAAAUAAAUUAUCACUUAUCAUUAAAAUGAGUUAAAUUCCUAAAAUAAUUAAUUCUUUUAUACAAAAAUAAAUUUACUAACAUAGGUUAAGCUUUUAUAUCUACAACUAGAUGAUAUCUUUUUAUUUAUUUUGAAACUCUCAACAAUAUAUUGUUUAAAAAUGUUUAUAAAAAAUAUAAUAGUAUAUAAUAACUUUUUAGUUCAUAUAAUAUGUUAUUAGAAAACUAUAAAACUUUCCUUAAACAUCAUCUAUUUUGAAACAAAGAAAUUAAUUUCUCAAGUAGUCUAACUAUGACUUGUUAAUAGUAGAUAAAAAUAUGAUCUAAAUUAAUAGAUUAGAUUACUCGACAACAAAUAUCAUAAAACGCGAUGAUUACAAAAAAAAAUUUAUAUCAUAAAAACACGAUGAUUACAAAAAGAUAUAAUUUAAGAAAAAAAGAUUGUGGAAAGUGGAAACGAAGAUCAAAUAGACAAAAGGGAAGCGUCUAGUGUCACUAAAAGUAAAGAAAAACAUCCAUAUCGAUAGUGACUGUAACAGUUGUGUUAAGUAUUGGACGAGUGUUUUUUUUCAAGUAUUGGACGAGUUGAAUAUAUUCGUGCUGAUACUAUAUAAAAUAAUAAUUAAAAAUCAAGACAAGCGCAGACUAUCUUUUGUUUCUUGUUCAUUUUCCUUUGUUAAUCCUAUGAAAAUGUUUUUUCAUGCACGAAUUUGCCUUGAUACAAUCAUAUAACUUGAAUUUUUGUUGGGCUCUUGAUUAUUACAUACGCACCACCUUUUGGCGAUAGUGGUCUCAUAUAUAAUACGUCAUGUGUGUGCGCGCGCAUCAGUGCCCCUAUGGUGUUUGGAGAGCUAGAAGAUUCUAUUCUAAUCUCUAAAGUGAACUAAAGUUUGAAACCACGAAUGGCUUCUUUCAUCACAUGACUUCUCUGCUUCUUCUAAAAUCUAAUGAAUAAGAUAAUAAUUCACAUUCAUGUUUUCAAAAUUAGAACGUGAAGGGUAAAACAAAGAGAAAAAUACAAAUCGAAUGGCGUGAAACUAUAAGUCUAAUUUAUAACCCGAGACACGUGAAUCUCCAAAAGUUCACAAAGCGAAUAAGGAUAAAAGGAAACAUCUGCACCCAAAAGUUCUUUUUUAAUUAAACACAUAUUUUAUAUAUUUCCGCAAGAUGUUUUCAUCCUCUUUUGUUUGAUUAUAUCUCUUUAUAUUUUGUCCCCAAAUACAAAUUAAUAAUGUAAAUAAUAUACAAUUAUAACACUUGGGAAGACUUAAAAUCAUGUGGUAUGUACGACAAGGUGGGUACCCCUACAAGGUUUUCUCUCGUGUCUCUUCUACUUGCUUCCUUCUUUUGUCUCAUUCAAGAACUUAUUCAAUGGCACGAGUUUCCAUGCUUUUGCUUAAAUAUGUUCUCUGACAACUUAGUACUAUUACUAAAAAUAUUUUGUAAUAAGAAAUUUCAUAAGAAAAUUAGACAUAUGAAUCAAAUUUAUUCUUUAAUUGCAAAUUAUUACAAGAUAAAUACAUCAAAUAUAUUUCAUGCAUUUGAAUCAUGGUCUUUCGUUAUUCACAUGCAGACAUAAUUACCAUUUUAGUUUGCAGAAUCUUAAAACUUUAUUUAUGUGGCUGACAAAAAAAAGAAUCAUAAACUUAUUUAAAAAAUGUUUUCCAAUUUGAAAAAUACACUUAAAUUAUGUAUCAACCGAAACUGUCAAAUAGGUCAUCAAUAUAGCGCUAGUUGUUCGUACCAAACUGCAUUCAGAUUUAUAUUUGGGUCGCUCGUUGGACUGCCAUCUACACGUCAGAUAUAGUAAGACCGACAGGUCGUAUGUUUGGUAUAAUUAUAUGCAUGAUUUUUUUUCUUUUUUUUCUUAUUAGGGGAUGUUGGAGCUGAGCUCCAAACAAUUUUCAGGGGUUGAUACCGACUAGUAAGCAGUAGCUCAGUUUUACGUUUUGUUUUUAGAUAAAUCUUAAGGCAUAUAUAGUUAUAUGUUUGUCUCUUUAAGAGGCAUAUAUCUUUCCAGUACCGAGUAUUUACGCUAAUAUGGAUUAUCUCUUUUGGAGAAAGAACAUCAUUGUUGAGCUAGAUUUAGACAUACAUCCUUAUCCCUGAAUAAUCUGGUACAUUAAAGAUGAAUAGCUAUAUUCAGGUGGUUUGGUGAACAAGACAAGUUUGGUGAACAACGCAGUUUUUCAUAUGAUUAGUUUUAGGUUUUAACCAAUUAAAGAUGAAUAGCUAGAUUCAGGUGGUUUCUCAGGUAUGACAAGUUAUGCUUUCUAUAAAUUAUUACGAGUUUAUAAAUGUUAAUUGUUCUUGAACUCAAACUUAAAUUAUAAUCUAUCAACUUCUGUUUGUUUAGAUUAUCUGUUGUCUAAAUCUCAGAUUUCAACUCUCGUUUGUUAAUCAUGAGAAAGUGUCGAUCAAUGUUAUAUUUGAAUGUCGAUCGAUACAUAUUUCAAAACGUCAAUCGAUAUCACUACCGUCACGUCGAUCAAUGUUUAUUAUAGCAGGCUUUACGAGUGGGUUUGAUAGGUUCUCUAGUCUCCUAGACCAACUUUCGUGUGUAUCUAGUUAAUUAGAUCAUACUAGUUUAGUUUCAGGUAAUUAACCAAGCUUCCGCUUGCGCCAAUUAAUCCUAAGAUCUAAGUUUAGGGUGAUCAAGCAUAGACUUAGCAGUAAGAACAACUAGAUGAAGAACUAUUUACGUUUCUAAUUAAUAUUCAUUUUAGCAAUACAUAUAUCAACUUUUGAAGAACCCUAAAUCUAACAGUACGACUAUUCAGACAUAUUCAUAAGAAAUAUUAUGAAGGUCUGAAUAAUACUCAAUAAUAUAAAUAUGAAAAGCAAACAAAAUAGAGUAAUAGAACAAGGGAGUUUAAGAUCUUCUCUUUUUAUGUAGUUCAGAUCUCUCUCCAAUCCUAAGCUCUAUUCCUCGUGUAGAAAUUUCUGCCUCCAAAAGUAUCUCUCUCUAAAAGUUUGUGUCUAGGUAAAACAUAAAAAACCCUAAUAAUUAGCCUAACAGGCGGCAAAAGACUUAUGGUGCAAAUCUUGAAACUUCCGGAUAAAAGUCAUAAUUUCCUUAAGUUGGCUUUGCGGAUGGCUUGCCGUCGAUCGACGUUGAUAUUGAUCCGUCUAUCGAUGUUUUCUUCAAUAAUCGACUCUUCUUUGAUGUUUUCAGCAAUGCUUUCAUAAAAUCUCCAAAUUGCCCCAAAAUCUCCAAAUUGCCCCAAAAUCAUCACUUUACUCCAAUAGGUACAUGAACCUGUAAUUACUCUACAAGACUCCAAAAUGCAUAUAAAAUACUCUAAAAACAUAUAUACAUCAUUGGUAAAAGUGGUUAAAAUCUAAGACAUAUCAUGUAGUCAAGGUCGUUCUAAUAUAGCGUAGAAGGGGUGAAAUGCUUUGUUACUGCAAACACGGCCUUGAGUUGGAGGUUGCAGAUUUUCACGAUCAGUGACGCAGUUCCUAACGGUUGUACCAUGACUCCAGUGUUGUUCCGUGAGUCAUUAUGGGAUCUGGAUAUCUGAUUGUUUUGAAGGCUUCUAGUGAGAGGAUGUUACUUGCACUCCCGGUGUUGAUUAGAAUAUUCGAGAAGGUGGACCCUCCUAACUUCUUCAGCACGUGGCGUUCAUGCUUCAUGAGGUGUCCGGACGCGUGUGUCGCGUUGACGGUGAAUCUCAACGCGUGGACGGUCACGUAUGUUUGGUUUACGCGCAUUUACGUUUGUGGGUCG
This 7660-nucleotide long non-coding RNA is filed under the name Brassica napus (rape). RNAcentral's name for it is "long non-coding RNA (BNAP_LNC020511)". Lineage: Eukaryota; Viridiplantae; Streptophyta; Magnoliopsida; Brassicales; Brassicaceae. The record is from RNAcentral.